This 1281-nucleotide long non-coding RNA is filed under the name Phascolarctos cinereus (koala). Its description in RNAcentral is "lncRNA (ENSPCIG00000036043.1)". Lineage: Eukaryota; Metazoa; Chordata; Mammalia; Diprotodontia; Phascolarctidae. The record is from RNAcentral.
CCGAGCCCGAGCGGACGCAUGCUCAUUGCUCGACAGCUGGCGUUUCCUUUCCGAGCGUGUUGCGGAGGCGGGGCCGGUGGCCCUGGCCUGGAACCAUGGCCUUAUUCCCGGCUUUCGCGGGCGUUAAUGCUGCCCCUGAGUCCUCCGCUGGUGGCAGCUCCAGGAGGGAUUUAGACUGGUUGAGCAACCCAAGCUUUUGUACUGGAAACAUACCAACCCUGCAACAAAAUACUGUAGAGAUUGCAGCCUUUACUUCUGAGAAGCAACUGCUUACAAGGUAGCGUUUCCUUUGACAUUUUUCUUAAUGGACUUUCUCUUACAUGUUGUGUUAUUUGCCACUGCAACUAGUAUAAGAAGGAACUUCUGCAUCUUAGCUUAAAUGAAGCUUCUUGAAAAACUUUAGUAAACACCACACUGAUCUUUUCUGAGCUAUAUUUUUCCUUAUCUCACUGUGUGACAUUUCCUUUUUUCUUUCCUUCUCCCUUUUCCUCCCCCUCCUUCCAUUUUGCAAUGAAAUUACAGGUAGUGCUUUUGUAAUUAGGCCAGGAGGGAAAUGUCAGUAUCAUGAUUCUUAAGCAGCAUAAAUUUAUUUGUUUUAAUAUUUAUUAUUAACAUUUGUUUUGAUACAACAGACAUUUCCAAACAAAUCUCCAAGCAUCCUUCCUUCCUUACAAGGUUUAUUCCCCAGAAAAGUAUAUCAAUUUAUCAGCACAAAGGAGGGAGAGGUUCCUUAACAGACAGUGUGGCACUACUAAAUUAAAUGUUGUAGUUGAACAGUUUUGUUGCCUGGCCAUGUUGACUUUAUUUACAUUGUUAUAGACAAUGUAGAUAUUGUUCUUUUCACUUUCUUUAAAGCAACUUUACUGACCUCCUUAAUAAUCUCUCAAAUCUUACAGUUAAGAUAGCUCCUUUUUUUCUAUUUCUUUUUUAAAAAAAUUUUUAUUAAUUAAUUAAUUUUUAGUUUUGAACAUUUUCUUCCAUAAAAUUUUGAGUUCCAAAUCUUCUCCCCUUCCAUCCCCUCCUCCCACCCCAAGAUGGCAUGCAGUCUAAUAUAGGCUCUACAUCUACAUUCAUAUUAAGCAUAUUUUCACAUUAAUCAUGUUGUAAAGAAGAAUUAGAACCAAUAGGAGGAACUACAGAGAUAGGUCCUUAAUCGUACUUUGAUCUCUUUUUCAUAAAAAUUGACUUAUGCCUUUUACAUUCUACUCCUGGCUUAUAUGAAAUUCUGAAAAAAGGUUGCUUUUUUUUUUAAACCAAUAUGUAAUUUGUGUCCAGUUUUUU